CGUUAAUCGGGAAUUACUGGGCGUAAAGAGUACGUAGGCGGUUGUACAAGUCAGAUGUGAAAGCCCUGGGCUCAACCUGGGAACUGCAUUUGAAACUGUACGGCUAGAGUUUGAUUGAGGGGAGUGGAAUUUCCGGUGUAGCGGUGAAAUGCGUAGAGAUCGGAAGGAACACCAGUGGCGAAGGCGGCUCCCUGGAUUAAAACUGACGCUGAGGUACGAAAGCGUGGGUAGCAAACAGGAUUAGAUACCCUGGUAGUCACGCCGUAAACGAUGAGAACUAGCUGUUGGGGUCAAUUAAGACUUUAGUGGCGAAGCUAACGUGAUUAGUUCUCCGCCUGGGGAGUACGGCCGCAAGGUUAAAACUCAAAUGAAUUGACGGGGGCCCGCACAAGCGGUGGAGCAUGUGGUUUAAUUCGAUGCAACGCGAAGAACCUUACCUGCCCUUGACAUCCUUCUGACCUGCUAGAGAUAGCGGGGUGCCUUCGGGAAAGGAGAGACAAGUGCUGCAUGGCUGUCGUCAGCUCGUGUCGUGAGAUGUUGGGUUAAGUCCCGUAACGAGCGCAACCCUUAUCCUUAGUUGCCAUCAGUUCGGCUGGGAACUCUAAGGAGACUGCCGGUGAUAAACCGGAGGAAGGUGGGGACGACGUCAAGUCAUCAUGGCCCUUAUGGGCAGGGCUACACACGUGCUACAAUGGUCGGUACAGAGGGCUGCAAAGUCGCGAGGCCAAGCUAAUCCCAGAAAGCCGAUCGUAGUCCGGAUUGGAGUCUGCAACUCGACUUCAUGAAGUCGGAAUCGCUAGUAAUCGCGGAUCAGAACGCCGCGGUGAAUACGUUCCCGGGCCUUGUACACACCGCCCGUCACACCAUGGGAGUGGGUUGCAAAAGAAGUGGGUAGUCUAACCUUCGGGAGGGCGCUCACCACUUUGUGAUUCAUGACUGGGGUGAAGUCGUAACAAGGUAACC
Molecule: ribosomal RNA, 963 nt
Filed under: uncultured bacterium
Lineage: Bacteria
Description: bacterial SSU rRNA
Rfam family: Bacterial small subunit ribosomal RNA
Source: RNAcentral